Abrus precatorius (Indian licorice) is the source of this 2507-nucleotide RNA transcript. It is a transcript of the gene named probable sulfate transporter 3.3, with no coding region annotated. The transcript is spliced from 16 exons. Lineage: Eukaryota; Viridiplantae; Streptophyta; Magnoliopsida; Fabales; Fabaceae. The record is from RefSeq and is a predicted model, not a curated record.
AACAGAAACUCAUCAAAGGCCUACGUCAUGUUAGUACAAUAUGAGCCAAAAUCAUUUUGCCAAUGAUGUUUCUGAUGCAAGAAAUAUUCGAGUGAAAGUUGAAUGUUGUUGUAAGUGAUGAUUUCACUCCUCAACUUCUGCAUUGAGUCUUGUAAGUGCUUGGGAUUUUAACACGACUUCAAAAAAAUAUAUUGGGGGGCCUCAUAUUUCUGGUUGGAAAUGUUGAUAAAUAUAGGUGCGAUCUUGUUUUAUAGCGGUUUUGCAUAUGUGUUGAUUACUGGGGUAGGUCAGGGAGGGAGGCUCACAUAAAAGGCAUCAUUGCUCAAACCACAAGAAGCUAUAAGCCACAUACCACAUCAUUUAAAACACCUUUUCUUCAAUGGAGCCUAAUGCCUCCAAUAUGGAUUCCCAUUGCUUAGAAAUGACCAUGGAAAUACACCAAGUUGUUCCACCACCCCACAAGAGCACCCUACAGAAGCUCAAGGCCAGACUCAAGGAAACUUUUUUCCCUGAUGAUCCGCUUCGCCAAUUCAAAGGUCAACCACUUCAGAAAAAACUAGUCCUUGCUGCUCAAUAUGUGUUUCCUAUUCUUCAAUGGGGUCCUAAAUACAGCCUCAAACUCUUUAAAUCUGACCUUAUUGCUGGCCUCACUAUUGCUAGCUUAGCCAUCCCACAGGGAAUCAGUUAUGCUAAACUUGCAAAUCUUCCUCCAAUUGUAGGACUUUAUUCUAGUUUUGUUCCCCCACUUGUUUAUGCUGUUCUUGGAAGCUCAAGGGACCUUGCUGUAGGACCUGUUUCUAUUGCUUCUCUUGUGUUGGGAUCCAUGCUGAGAGAGGAAGUGUCUCCCACAACAGACCCAGUUUUGUUUCUUCAGCUAGCUUUUACUUCAACAUUAUUUGCUGGUCUCUUUCAAGCUUCUCUUGGAAUUCUUAGGCUAGGAUUUAUCAUUGAUUUUUUAUCUAAGGCCAUCCUGAUUGGGUUCAUGGCUGGAGCAGCUAUAAUUGUUUCUCUUCAACAGCUCAAGAGCUUGCUUGGAAUCACACAUUUCACAAAUCAAAUGACACUGGUUCCUGUCAUGAGUUCUGUUUUUCACAAUACACAUGAGUGGUCAUGGCAAACAAUAUUGAUGGGCAUUUGCUUCUUGGUGCUACUACUAUUAGCAAGACACGUCAGUAUAAGGAAACCAAAGCUAUUUUGGGUCUCAGCUGGAGCUCCUCUCGUGUCUGUCAUCAUCUCUACUCUUCUUGUUUUUGCAAUUAAGGCUCAAAAUCAUGGCAUCAGUGUAAUUGGAAAAUUGCAACAAGGUAUAAAUCCUCCUUCGUGGGAUAUGUUGAGCUUGCAUGGAAAUCACCUAUGCCUAGUCAUGAAAACUGGCCUUAUCACUGGCAUUUUGUCCCUCACUGAAGGUAUUGCAGUAGGAAGGACUUUUGCAUCUCUCAGAAACUACAAAGUUGAUGGAAAUAAGGAAAUGAUGGCAAUUGGGUUUAUGAAUGUGGUUGGCUCCUUCACUUCCUGCUACAUUACCACAGGUGCUUUUUCCCGCUCAGCUGUUAAUAACAACGCAGGUGCAAAAACAGCUGCGUCAAAUAUUGUGAUGUCUGUGACAGUGAUGGUGACACUCCUUUUUCUUAUGCCAUUGUUUCAAUACACGCCUAAUGUUGUAUUGGGUGCAAUCAUAGUCACUGCAGUAAUUGGCCUCAUUGAUAUCCCUGCUGCUUGUAGCAUUUGGAGGAUAGACAAAUAUGAUUUCCUUGUGAUGUUGACUGCUUUCUUGGGUGUUGUUUUUAUCUCUGUCCAGGAAGGUCUUGCUCUUGCAGUCGGGUUAUCAAUAUUUAAGAUACUCCUGCAAAUUACAAGGCCUAAAACAGUAAUGUUGGGGAAGAUACCAGGGACAGACAUAUAUAGAAAUCUUCAUCAAUAUAAGGAUGCCACAAGAAUACCUAGUUUUCUUAUUUUAAGCAUUGAGGCUCCCAUCAAUUUUGCUAACAUCACAUAUCUCAACGAGAGAACAUUAAGAUGGAUUGAAGAAGAAGAAGAAGACAACAUAAAGGAACACUCGAGCCUUCAAUUUUUAAUUUUGGAAAUGUCAGCCGUGAGCGCCAUAGACACAAGUGGAGUCACGCUUUUCAAGGAAUUGAAAGGAACACUGGAAAAGAAGGGUGUUGAGCUUGUAUUGGUGAAUCCUCUCGCUGAGGUCAUAGAAAAGCUGAAAAAAGCAAAUGAAGCUAAUGAUUUCAUACGAGCGGAUAACCUUUUCUUGACAGUUGGAGAGGCUGUAGCUUCACUUGCAUCAGGAAUGAAGAGUCAACCAUCAACCAGUACAGAAGGGGCACAUACAGUUGUGCCACAUUACUGAAAAUUUAGAUUACAGAAUAUACUUCAAAAGUAAAAAUUAAAGGAAGUAACAGCAGCAGCAGCAUCAUGUCUAGCAUAGAAUUCGGAUAAAAAAGUAUUGUAAUACCCGACCGUAUGAUUAAAAUGAAAUGCAACUUGCUUCUGCUUAGUAA